CCUUUUGCAUCAUGAUUUAGCUAGAAAAUUUCAAGCAAAGAGAACUUUAGUUUGACACCCCGAAACUAUGUGAGCUACUCCAAGACAGCCUAGCAAUAGGGCGAACCCGUCUCUGUGGCAAAAGAGUGGGAAGAGCUUUGAGUAGAGGUGACAGACCUACCGAACUUAGUUAUAGCUGGUUGCCUGAGAAAUGAAUAGGAGUUCAGCCUCCCGGAUUUCUCCCGUCCAUCCCAGUUUAUACCCCUGCACCAGUGAACAAGAGAAGCCGAGAGAGUUAGUCAAAGGGGGUACAGCCCCUUUGACACAAGACACAACUUUCCCAGGAGGGAAAAGAUCAUACUUAUGACAGUAAGGUAGAAUGUUUUGGUGGGCCUAAAAGCAGCCA
Molecule: ribosomal RNA, 385 nt
Filed under: Menticirrhus littoralis (Gulf kingcroaker)
Lineage: Eukaryota; Metazoa; Chordata; Actinopteri; Sciaenidae
Description: partial large subunit ribosomal RNA
Rfam family: Bacterial large subunit ribosomal RNA
Source: RNAcentral